This 389-nucleotide ribosomal RNA is filed under the name uncultured bacterium. Its description in RNAcentral is "bacterial SSU rRNA". It matches the Rfam family "Bacterial small subunit ribosomal RNA", at positions 28 to 418 of the family's 1533-position model. The record is from RNAcentral.
GACGAACGCCGGCGGCGUGCUUAACACAUGCAAGUCGAGCGGUAAGGCCCUUUCGGGGGUACACGAGCGGCGAACGGGUGAGUAACACGUGGGUGACCUGCCCUCAGCUCUGGGAUAAGCCCGGGAAACUGGGUCUAAUACCGGAUAUGACUCCAUGACGCAUGUUGUGGGGUGGAAAGCCUUGUGCGGCUGAGGAUGGGCCCGCGGCCUAUCAGCUUGUUGGUGGGGUGAUGGCCUACCAAGGCGACGACGGGUAGCCGGCCUGAGAGGGCGACCGGCCACACUGGGACUGAGAUACGGCCCAGACUCCUACGGGAGGCAGCAGUGGGGAAUCUUGCGCAAUGGGCGAAAGCCUGACGCAGCGACGCCGCGUGAGGGAUGACGGCCUC